This 223-nucleotide long non-coding RNA is filed under the name Elaeis guineensis (African oil palm). RNAcentral's name for it is "long non-coding RNA (EGUI_LNC038687)". The record is from RNAcentral. Lineage: Eukaryota; Viridiplantae; Streptophyta; Magnoliopsida; Arecales; Arecaceae.
CCAUUGUACUCAGUGCAUCAUAUCCUCCCUUGUCUCUCUUCUUGCUCUUCCACUGCGGGCAAUCUCGCUUGAAGUGUCCGAUCUCAUUGCACUUGUAGCAUCGAGCCUCUUUCUUGCUUCUACUCUUUUGGGACUUUGAUCAUCCCCUUGACUUGCCGCUUUCUUUUCCUCUUCCUGACCACUCUCCCAUGGCCAAGCCCUCCUGGGGAGUUCCAUCAUUGGU